Molecule: ribosomal RNA, 433 nt
Filed under: uncultured bacterium
Lineage: Bacteria
Description: partial 16S ribosomal RNA
Rfam family: Bacterial small subunit ribosomal RNA
Source: RNAcentral
AGCGAACGCUGGCGGCAGGCCUAACACAUGCAAGUCGUACGAACUCUUCGGAGUUAGUGGCGGACGGGUGAGUAACACGUGGGAACGUGCCUUUUGGUUCGGAAUAACUCAGGGAAACUUGUGCUAAUACCGAAUGUGCCCUUCGGGGGAAAGAUUUAUCGCCAUUAGAGCGGCCCGCGUCUGAUUAGCUAGUUGGUGAGGUAACGGCUCACCAAGGCGACGAUCAGUAGCUGGUCUGAGAGGAUGACCAGCCACACUGGGACUGAGACACGGCCCAGACUCCUACGGGAGGCAGCAGUGGGGAAUCUUGCGCAAUGGGCGAAAGCCUGACGCAGCCAUGCCGCGUGAAUGAUGAAGGUCCUAGGAUUGUAAAAUUCUUUCACCGGGGACGAUAAUGACGGUACCCGGAGAAGAAGCCCCGGCUAACUUCGUG